This 1070-nucleotide ribosomal RNA is filed under the name Vreelandella alkaliphila. Its description in RNAcentral is "bacterial SSU rRNA". It matches the Rfam family "Bacterial small subunit ribosomal RNA", at positions 415 to 1477 of the family's 1533-position model. Lineage: Bacteria; Pseudomonadati; Pseudomonadota; Gammaproteobacteria; Oceanospirillales; Halomonadaceae. The record is from RNAcentral.
CCCUCGGGUUGUAAAGCACUUUCAGCGAGGAAGAACGCCUAGUGGUUAAUACCCAUUAGGAAAGACAUCACUCGCAGAAGAAGCACCGGCUAACUCCGUGCCAGCAGCCGCGGUAAUACGGAGGGUGCAAGCGUUAAUCGGAAUUACUGGGCGUAAAGCGCGCGUAGGUGGCUUGAUAAGCCGGUUGUGAAAGCCCCGGGCUCAACCUGGGAACGGCAUCCGGAACUGUCAAGCUAGAGUGCAGGAGAGGAAGGUAGAAUUCCCGGUGUAGCGGUGAAAUGCGUAGAGAUCGGGAGGAAUACCAGUGGCGAAGGCGGCCUUCUGGACUGACACUGACACUGAGGUGCGAAAGCGUGGGUAGCAAACAGGAUUAGAUACCCUGGUAGUCCACGCCGUAAACGAUGUCGACCAGCCGUUGGGUGCCUAGCGCACUUUGUGGCGAAGUUAACGCGAUAAGUCGACCGCCUGGGGAGUACGGCCGCAAGGUUAAAACUCAAAUGAAUUGACGGGGGCCCGCACAAGCGGUGGAGCAUGUGGUUUAAUUCGAUGCAACGCGAAGAACCUUACCUACUCUUGACAUCCUGCGAACUUGUGAGAGAUCACUUGGUGCCUUCGGGAACGCAGAGACAGGUGCUGCAUGGCUGUCGUCAGCUCGUGUUGUGAAAUGUUGGGUUAAGUCCCGUAACGAGCGCAACCCUUGUCCUUAUUUGCCAGCGGGUAAUGCCGGGAACUCUAAGGAGACUGCCGGUGACAAACCGGAGGAAGGUGGGGACGACGUCAAGUCAUCAUGGCCCUUACGAGUAGGGCUACACACGUGCUACAAUGGCCGGUACAAAGGGUUGCGAGCUCGCGAGAGUCAGCUAAUCCCGAAAAGCCGGUCUCAGUCCGGAUCGGAGUCUGCAACUCGACUCCGUGAAGUCGGAAUCGCUAGUAAUCGUGAAUCAGAAUGUCACGGUGAAUACGUUCCCGGGCCUUGUACACACCGCCCGUCACACCAUGGGAGUGGACUGCACCAGAAGUGGUUAGCUUAACCUUCGGGAAAGCGAUCACCACGGUGUGGUUCAUGACUG